UGAUUGCAGCACUCUGUGAUCACACAGGUAGACACACAGGUAGACACACAGGUAGACACACAGGUAGACACACAGGUGAGCACACAGGUAGACACACAGGUGAGCACACAGCUGAGCACACAGGUAGACACACAGGUAGACACACAGGUAGACACACAGGUAGACACACAGGUGAGCUCCACAGGGCCCGCAGUGGAAAAGACACUGGCUUAAAUGAGUAUACUAGAAGCUAGAUGGCUAGUUAGCUGCUGAAGCUACACGAGUGGUAAGCUGUUAGUUGCUGUGAGGACGGACUCAUCAGUGCUCCCCGUGUCUUCGGCCAUGGCCUCCGAUAGCCCCUCCUCCCAAGCAGCUUCCACCUACCUGACCGCGCACACCAACGAGAUGGUGGAGCUGCAGCACCUGAACGGCCGCUUAACCAGCUACAUCGAGAGGUUGCACUUCCUGGAGCAGCAGAACCAGACGCUGGCGGCGGAGGUGAAGCGGCUGCGAGGCCGUAAGCUCACGCGCUUUGAAAGGUAUGAGAGCCAGGUGGGAGGAGCCAGGUGGGAGGGGCCAGGGGGCGUGUGUGUGUGAUGGACAGAAGAUUUCUGUGUAUUGUUGUGUGUUUGAGUGAAAGAGAAAACAACAUUUGUGUGAGUUUUUCAGCAGCUGAGAGGGAAACUGUGAAAGUGACUUUAGAGAAGAAGUCAGGCUGAAGAAGAAAGAUCUGCCGAUUUAAUCAUGAAGAUGACGUGAUGAUGAUGACGAUGAUGGACGUCCGUCAUCUGGUUGUUCUGGUGACAGGAAGUGUCCUUAAAAAGGAUUCUUAUUUGUAGACUUUAACAUGACCAAAGUUGAAUUAGGAGUAUUUCCAUUUUUGGUUUUCGUUUAACAGCUUUGAGGAAAAAGUAAGUUCAAUAUCCAGCAAUUCCACAGUAUCAGAGGAACAAUCUUUUCAUUGAGUAAAAGUGACCGUCAGUACAACGUACAUUAAUAUUAGAGAGGUAGUACUAUGCAGCAUGUUAUAUUUUCAUACUGGAAUAUGUUUGUUGGUGUGAUCAAAAAAGCUUCUCAGAUGAACCCGACGUUGAUGUCGAUGAUGUCGUUGUCUCACCUGCUCCUCCAGGCUCAUGGAGCAGACUCCCCAGAAGGAGGACGUGGAGAGCAACCUGGCUGCUUCCGGGGGGGUGACGCCUGUGUAGCGUGUCUCCACCCACAGCUUCUCCACAACGCAGAAGAAGCUCCUCCUGACGUUUCUCGUAUGUCUUCCUUCAUGUGCAGAGCUGCUGACCGUUAAAAGCAAUGUGGACGCCUCUGACCCGUUUGUCUUACUAUGCUAAAAAUCACAGCUCAACAUUGUUAAGGAACAACAAGGCAGCUCGCUGAGGUAGAGUGAAGAAAAGAGGAUGUCUUCAGAGAUACAGAACAGCGGAGCGAAGUGAAUGACCAGCGAGAGAAGAGGCCUAAGGGGCACGUGUGAGGGAGUAACGCUGUACAUCAGUAACAACGUUGUAUCUUUACCGUGAAGGACAUGAGUGAGUCUCUGUACCUGCAACAUCUGCUCCACCGUCAGCUUCAUCAACGGGUCGACAUCAUGUGAGGAGGAGCAGAGAGAAGAAGAGACGACGAGGGACAAGAACAUAGAGACUCUUCUGGGUUAAAGCGUGAGCAGCAGAGUGAUGCUGUUAUUCACUCUAUUGGGAUGUAUUUAUCUGUGGUUUAAUGUAUAUAUAUUAUAUUAUAUUUCCGAGAAUAACUGAGACGGACUUGAUUUGUUUUUUGUAUCAAUUCACAAUAAAAUGAACAUAAUUGCAUCAGAGAGGCUGCUGACAAAUAAAAGAAUUUUCCAAUGGCCUAAAAAAUAAAACACUGCAUGAACUUCCUGAUUUCUGUCUAUUUAAGUUAAAUGGAAUGAGGAAACAUUUAUUGUCAUAAUUUGUCAGACAUACAAGGAAUGUGACUUGGCGGUUGGUGCGUAACAGCAGAC
This is a long non-coding RNA of Gasterosteus aculeatus aculeatus (three-spined stickleback), 1969 nucleotides long. The record is from Ensembl. NCBI's taxonomy places the organism in Eukaryota, Metazoa, Chordata, Actinopteri, Perciformes, Gasterosteidae.